GUCUACAGCUACAUGGCCUUGAAUGCACCUGAUCUUGUCAGACCUCGGAAGCUGAGUAGGUUCAGGCCUGGCUAGUACUUCAAUGGUAGAGGUUUUCAUACAAGAAGCGAGAGGUGCUAAGCA
This 123-nucleotide ribosomal RNA is filed under the name Nannospalax galili (Upper Galilee mountains blind mole rat). The record is from RNAcentral. Lineage: Eukaryota; Metazoa; Chordata; Mammalia; Rodentia; Spalacidae.